AUUGAACGCUGGCGGCAUGCCUUACACAUGCAAGUCGAACGGCAGCACGGGUGCUUGCACCUGGUGGCGAGUGGCGAACGGGUGAGUAAUACAUCGGAACAUGUCCUGUAGUUGGGGAUAGCCCGGCGAAAGCCGGAUUAAUACCGCAUACGAUCUUCGGAUGAAAGCGGGGGACCUUCGUGCCUCGCGCUAUAGGGUUGGCCGAUGGCUGAUUAGCUAGUUGGUGGGGUAAAGGCCUACCAAGGCGACGAUCAGUAGCUGGUCUGAGAGGACGACCAGCAACACUGGGACUGAGACACGGCACAGACUCCUACGGGAGGCAGCAGUGGGGAAUUUUGGACAAUGGGCGAAAGCCUGAUCCAGCAAUGCCGCGUGUGUGAAGAAGGCCUUCGGGUUGUAAAGCACUUUUGUCCGGAAAGAAAUCCUUGGCCCUAAUACGGUCGGGGGAUGACGGUACCGGAAGAAUAAGCACCGGCUAACUACGUG
RNAcentral lists this ribosomal RNA (486 nucleotides) under uncultured bacterium. RNAcentral describes it as "partial 16S ribosomal RNA". It matches the Rfam family "Bacterial small subunit ribosomal RNA", at positions 30 to 507 of the family's 1533-position model. The record is from RNAcentral.